This 510-nucleotide ribosomal RNA is filed under the name uncultured crenarchaeote. RNAcentral's name for it is "bacterial SSU rRNA". It matches the Rfam family "Archaeal small subunit ribosomal RNA", at positions 346 to 859 of the family's 1478-position model. The record is from RNAcentral. Lineage: Archaea; Thermoproteati; Thermoproteota.
ACCUCUGCAAUGCGGGAAACCGUGACAGGAGGAUUCCGAGUGCUCAUGCAUGCAUGGGCUGUUCUUUGGUCUAAGUAACCAGAGGAGUAAGGGCUGGGCAAGACCGGUGCCAGCCGCCGCGGUAAUACCGGCAGCUCAAGUGGUAGCCGCGAUUAUUGGGCCUAAAACGUUCGUAGCCGGAUAAGUAAGUCUUUGGUUAAAUCCUGCGACUUAACCGUGGGAAAUCUAGAGAUACUGCUUGUCUUGAGACCGGGAGAGGUUGGAGGUACUCCCAGGGUAGGGGUGAAAUCCUGUAAUCCUGGGGGGACCACCUGUGGCGAAGGCGUCCAACUGGAACGGGUCUGACGGUGAGGGACGAAACCUAGGGGAGCGAGCCGGAUUAGAUACCCGGGUAGUCCUAGGCGUAAAUGAUGCGAGUUAAGUGUGGGGGCAUCCACGAGAUGGCCCUGUGCUGUAGGGUAGCCGUUAAACUCGCUGCCUGGGGAGUACGGUCGCAAGGCUGAAACUUAA